Molecule: ribosomal RNA, 465 nt
Filed under: uncultured bacterium
Lineage: Bacteria
Description: partial 16S ribosomal RNA
Rfam family: Bacterial small subunit ribosomal RNA
Source: RNAcentral
GACGAACGCUGGCGGCGUGCUUAACACAUGCCAGUCGAACGGAAAGGCCCUGCUUGCCGGGUACUCGCGUGGCGAACGGGUGAGUAACACGUGGGUGAUCUGCCCUGCACUUCGGGAUAAGCCUGUGAGACUGGGUCUAAUACCGGAUAGGAGCCAUUUUUAGUGUGAUGGUUGGAAAGUUUUUUCGGUGUAGGAUGAGCUCGCGGGCUAUCAGCUUGUUGGUGGGGUAAUGGCCUACCAAGGCGGCGACGGGUAGCCGGCCUGAGGGGGUGGACGGCCACAUUGGGACCUAGGUGAGGCCCAAGCUCCUACGGGGGGCAGCAGGGGGGAAUAUUGCACAAUGGGCGCAAGCCUGAUGCAGCGACGCCGCGUGGGGGAUGACGGCCUUCGGGUUGAAAACUCCUUUCGCUAGGGACGAAGCUUUUUGUGACGGUACCUAGAUAAGAAGCACCGGCUAACUACGUG